RNAcentral lists this ribosomal RNA (445 nucleotides) under uncultured bacterium. Its description in RNAcentral is "partial 16S ribosomal RNA". It matches the Rfam family "Bacterial small subunit ribosomal RNA", at positions 354 to 796 of the family's 1533-position model. The record is from RNAcentral.
GUGAGGAAUAUUGGUCAAUGGACGAGAGUCUGAACCAGCCAAGUCGCGUGAAGGAAGACGGUUCUAUGAAUUGUAAACUUCUUUUGUGCAGGAAUAAAGUGGGUUACGUGUAACCUUUUGUAUGUACUGUACGAAUAAGGAUCGGCUAACUCCGUGCCAGCAGCCGCGGUAAUACGGAGGAUCCGAGCGUUAUCCGGAUUUAUUGGGUUUAAAGGGUGCGUAGGUGGAUUGAUAAGUCAGCGGUGAAAGUUUGCAGCUUAACUGUAAAAUUGCCGUUGAAACUGUCGGUCUUGAGUGCAAAUGAGGUAGGCGGAAUGUGUUGUGUAGCGAUGAAAUGCUUAGAUAUAACACAGAACUCCGAUUGCGAAGGCAGCUUACUGGGAUGCAACUGACACUGAUGCACGAAAGCGUGGGUAUCAAACAGGAUUAGAUACCCCAGUAGUCC